CAAUAGCGUAUAUUAAAGUUGUUGCAGUUAAAAAGCUCGUAGUUGGAUUUCUGGCAGGAGCGACCGGUCACACACUCUGUGUGUGAACUUGCGUUGUCUCUGGCCAUCCUUGGGAAGAUCCUGUUUGGCAUUAAGUUGUCGGGCAGGGGAUACCCAUCGUUUACUGUGAAAAAAUUAGAGUGUUCAAAGCAGGCUUAUGCCGUUGAAUAUAUUAGCAUGGAAUAAUAAGAUAGGACUUCGGAACUAUUUUGUUGGUUUGCGUUACGAAGUAAUGAUUAAUAGGGACAGUUGGGGGUAUUCGUAUUUCGCUGUCAGAGGUGAAAUUCUUGGAUUUCCGAAAGACGAACUACUGCGAAAGCAUUUACCAAGGAUGUUUUCAUUA
Molecule: ribosomal RNA, 382 nt
Filed under: uncultured eukaryote
Lineage: Eukaryota
Description: partial 18S ribosomal RNA
Rfam family: Eukaryotic small subunit ribosomal RNA
Source: RNAcentral